Molecule: non-coding RNA, 22 nt
Filed under: Arabidopsis thaliana (thale cress)
Lineage: Eukaryota; Viridiplantae; Streptophyta; Magnoliopsida; Brassicales; Brassicaceae
Source: RNAcentral
CUCGUCAUCAAGUCUAGCUACA